Molecule: ribosomal RNA, 403 nt
Filed under: uncultured bacterium
Lineage: Bacteria
Description: bacterial SSU rRNA
Rfam family: Bacterial small subunit ribosomal RNA
Source: RNAcentral
GGUGAACGCUGGCGGCAGGCCUAACACAUGCAAGUCGAGCGGCAGCGCGUCCGACCACCCUCGGGUGGUCGGAUGGCGGCGAGCGGCGGACGGGUGAGGAAUGCAUCGGAAUCUGCCUCGUUGUGGGGGAUAACGUAGGGAAACUUACGCUAAUACCGCAUACGACCUACGGGUGAAAGUGGGGGACCUUCGGGCCUCACGCGAUGAGAUGAGCCGAUGCCGGAUUAGCUAGUUGGCGGGGUAAAGGCCCACCAAGGCGACGAUCCGUAGCUGGUCUGAGAGGAUGAUCAGCCACACUGGAACUGAGACACGGUCCAGACUCCUACGGGAGGCAGCAGUGGGGAAUAUUGGACAAUGGGGGCAACCCUGAUCCAGCCAUGCCGCGUGUGUGAAGAAGGCCUGG